This is a long non-coding RNA of Xenia sp. Carnegie-2017, 2171 nucleotides long. RefSeq lists it as uncharacterized. Lineage: Eukaryota; Metazoa; Cnidaria; Anthozoa; Malacalcyonacea; Xeniidae. The transcript is spliced from 5 exons. The record is from RefSeq and is a predicted model, not a curated record.
UUUCAUAAUUUGGACACAGUCACUGAAUGAAAAUGUAUCUGCAAUGAGUAUUUUUAAUGUUUGUUUACAAUUACUCAUUACUGUCUAUCUAGUUUGCACUAAUAUUGAGGUGUACAAUUUUCUGGGAGAGGUCUCACUGGUCUGUUUGCAACAUUGAUGAAUGUCCGAAGUUUUUUCAUGAACAGUUACAAGGUCAACAAAUUGGUGACAGAAACGAUAAAGUCACGAGCUGCAGAAGAAGGCAUUCGUGCUGUCAGACGGAAGCAAAAACGGUGAAGAAGUGGAGGUUGUUGGAACUUUUAAAGGAAGAAUAUGAGAGCAUAUCUUAACACAUAUGUCACGGAGAAAUUUUAAAUGAAUUAGACGCAAAGGAAUCGAAGUUUGUUGUCAAUUAUUACUACUUAGAAGAAGACAAUGGAACAGAAUAUGUCUAUUUAGUAGAAUGUGACAGACCUAUGUGAAGAAUCGCUGGAGGAUUUUGUGCAAUCAGAAUCCAAUAGUUUGGCUUAUCUUCAAAAAUCUCUUCCCGAAAUUCUCAGACACAUUUUAAAAGAUUAUCUGAUCCUCAUAGUGGCGAAAAUCCUAUUCUCUAUCGGGAUUUAAAGCCUUCUAAUGUACUCCGAGAUGCACAAGGAAAAUUUCUGAUAGCUGACUUUGGUAUUAGUCGAAUAUUGAAAGAUGGAAGUAAGACAAGAGUAAGUAAUGCUAAAAAGGGAACUCCGUAUUGGAUUGCUCCUGAAUCAUUUUGUACAGAUAAAAAUCCGAUUGGCAAAGGACGUUACAAAACAGAGUUGGAUGUAAUGACUGCAGGAAUGGUAGCUUUUUAUGUUGCCACAAAAGGAGACCAACCUUUUAAAACUGAAGAGAAUAUAUUGAAAGGAAACACUGUUGGCUUGGAGAAAAUAGAUAAUGUCGAUCUAAAAGAUCUACUUUCGUGGAUGCUACAGCUAAAACCGGAAGACAGACCAUCGGCCAACGAAGCGUUAAAACACCCUUAUCUACAAACCGAUGAGGUGAAUUUUGAUUUGCUAUGUGAUGUUAGGAAUGAACCAGAAAUAAAGACAUCAUCUCGACAUUCUCUUACCUCAGAUGUUUGUGAGCAGUUGAAUCUUUCAAUAGAUUGAUGGACCGUAUCGAUCAUGAAGUCUUUAAACAUUUCAAUAAAGUAUCCGACUCUACAUGGUUAGGUUGCCUAAGAUUUUUACGAAACGUUCGCCAGCAUUGGCAUGAUAAACCUCGUCCACAAUUGUCAUGGAAACUAUCAAGAGUAUUUUCUUUAACUCUUUAAGGAACUGCCUGUUCUAGUUCACAGAACCAUAAGAUUGAGUGACUGGAAGGCAAGACCUGUUCUAAAGAAACAUUUUGCAAGUAAAACAGAGAAAUGAGUUUUUAUUUUUGAUGGCCAAGUUAUAAAUUAGGGGUCCAUGACACUAUAUUUGUUAUUUUCACUCUAGUUCUCCUCUUCAUUUACUGUACUUAAUGCAUGUAUGUUUUGAGUUCUGUAUAUUGCCGUUGCACACAUUUUUUGGACAGUACACAUCCUGUAAAACUUGAAAAAGGCAAGGGAAAGAAAAGCGAAGGUGUUAUUGAUUACGCUGAUCUUAACGGUAAAUAGCUAUGUAACAACAAACUAAUGCUGUGUACGUGUCACUUUUCUUAAAUAUUCUACCAAAAAGCGUAAUCUCUCCACUUGUAUCUGGUGCAUCAUUUUCUAACUUUGUGCAACUGAUAAUAACGGUUCAAGCAUGUGUGAUAGUACUAGCAAUAGUCAAAAAUCUUUAGACGAGAUCAACAAUUUGUCAGAUAUCCAAAGAUAGUGAAGAGUACCUACGAAUCAUGGUGAUUCAGAGACUUUGGCAUAUUUUUAUCGUAUGGUAAAAAGAAACUUAUAGCUUAUUAUGUUGUCAAACUUGUAAAGAACACAUAUGCAAUAAUAAAUAUUGCGUAUCUUUUGCUUUAAGUCAGCAAAUGCUUUCAAAUCGUAUACAUUAAUGCUGAAAUUUUGAUUUUAGGCUUGAGUAAAACUGUAAAUAAUGUGCAUUAAAUGUAGAAAGUAUUAAAGGAAAACAUACUAUAGUAAAAAGUAAAAGUACUGCGUACCAUUCGAAGGCAUAACCAAAUACCUAUAGUUAACAUAAUUUUUUGAAAAUCCUCUUUCGAUAUGGUAAAAA